GACGAACGCUGGCGGCGUGCCUAACACAUGCAAGUCGAGCGAGUGAAUCUCCUUCGGGAGUGAAGCUAGCGGCGGACGGGUGAGUAACACGUGGGCAACCUGCCUCAUAGAGGGGAAUAGCCUUCCGAAAGGAAGAUUAAUACCGCAUAAGAUUGUAGCUUCGCAUGAAGUAGCAAUUAAAGGAGCAAUCCGCUAUGAGAUGGGCCCGGGCGCAUUAGCUAGUUGGUGAGGUAACGGCUCACCAAGGCGACGAUGCGUAGCCGACCUGA
RNAcentral lists this ribosomal RNA (269 nucleotides) under uncultured bacterium. RNAcentral describes it as "partial 16S ribosomal RNA". It matches the Rfam family "Bacterial small subunit ribosomal RNA", at positions 28 to 295 of the family's 1533-position model. The record is from RNAcentral.